Molecule: transfer RNA, 73 nt
Filed under: Hydrogenispora ethanolica
Lineage: Bacteria; Bacillati; Bacillota
Description: Firmicutes bacterium LX-B tRNA
Rfam family: tRNA
About the family: Transfer RNA (tRNA) molecules are approximately 80 nucleotides in length. Their secondary structure includes four short double-helical elements and three loops (D, anti-codon, and T loops). Further hydrogen bonds mediate the characteristic L-shaped molecular structure. tRNAs have two regions of fundamental functional importance: the anti-codon, which is responsible for specific mRNA codon recognition, and the 3' end, to which the tRNAs corresponding amino acid is attached (by aminoacyl-tRNA synthetases). tRNAs cope with the degeneracy of the genetic code in two manners: having more than one tRNA (with a specific anti-codon) for a particular amino acid; and 'wobble' base-pairing, i.e. permitting non-standard base-pairing at the 3rd anti-codon position.
Source: Rfam by way of RNAcentral
GCCGACAUAGCUCAGCUGGUAGAGCAGCGCACUUGUAAUGCGCAGGUCAUCGGUUCAAAUCCGAUUGUCGGCU